GGCUGCUCGAUUUAAAGAACAGUCUGGCCUGCCCACUGAUUUUAUUUAAGGGCCGCGGUAUCCUGACCGUGCGAAGGUAGCAUAAUAAUUAGUCUUUUAAUUGAAGACCGGAAUGAAAGGUCGGACAAAAAGCAACCUGUCUUAACUAGACUCCUCUAAAUUAACUUUUAAGUGAAAAGGCUUAAAUGCUCUCAUAGGACGACAAGACCCUAUAAAACUUCAUAUAUAUACCUUAUUUUUCGAUUUAUUAGUGAAAAGCUGAAUACCUAAAAUGUAUUUUGUUGGGGCGACAAAAGUAAAACUACUAACUGCUUUUUUAUAUAAACACGUAUAAGUGAACUUCCUGAUCCUAUUCUUAAGAAUAAAAGAAAAAGUUACUUUAGGGAUAACAGCGUAAUUUUUUUUGAGAGUCCUUAUCAACAAAAAAGUUUGCGACCUCGAUGUUGAAUUAAAAUAACCUUCUAGUGCAGCAGCUAGUAAGGUAGGUCUGUUCGACCUUUAAAGUUUUACAUGAUUUGAGUUCAAACCGGCGUGAG
RNAcentral lists this ribosomal RNA (536 nucleotides) under Neocallichirus guassutinga. RNAcentral describes it as "Sergio guassutinga partial large subunit ribosomal RNA". It matches the Rfam family "Bacterial large subunit ribosomal RNA", at positions 1832 to 2625 of the family's 2925-position model. The record is from RNAcentral. Lineage: Eukaryota; Metazoa; Arthropoda; Malacostraca; Decapoda; Callianassidae.